GUGUGUGUGUGUGUGUGUGUGUGUGUGUAGGGGACAGAAGGACACCAGGUGGUCAACUCUCACUCUCCUCCACCACGGACAGAAUUUCAUUAUGACCAAAAGAGGGGCUGGUGCUGCUCAGCUUGCAGACAAGAAAAUGAUGGCGAAACGCGCUAUCUGGAGCUUCUUCCAGGCCAUUAGCUGCCUCUGCGCCCGGAGGUCCGCUCCUAAACUCCACUGAAGGCUGUUGUGGCAACCCAGGAAGAGCAGCGGGACGGGGACACCAGGCCUGAUGAUUUCCCCUUGACAGAUGAGGAGCCCUGGUCUCAGAGACAGCUGGGCAUGGAGUCAGGAAAAACCAAGUUUGAAUCUGGCUUCAGAUCCUUAAAAUCUGUGUCACCCUGGCUAGGACCCUGCCCAUACCGCAGAAAAGAAGAAAUGGGAAGAUUUCCAGCUCAAAACCCCGGGUCUGAACCAUCCUUGAGCAAAGGAAGAGCCCAGUGGAGUAUCAUUGUGCUAUGAAAAAUGACAAGCAGGAUGAUUUCAGCAAAGCCAGGGGAACGUUGGGCACAGUAAGAGCAAGAUUGUUGGAUUAAGAACUGCGAUGACUUAGCUCUUCUCAGCUAUACAACGAUCCAAGAGCGUCCCAAAGGACCCUGGUGAAGUACACGAUGGCCCUCCAGAGAAAGAACUGAGCUUGAUUGAUUCCAGACUAUUUUUCCCUUUUUUCUUUCACUUUUCCUUUUUAUUUGAGUCUUGUACAAAAUGACUGACAUGGAAAUAUUUACUAGAAGUGCACAGGUAUAACCUCCAGCAGAUUGCUUCCAGGGAGGGAGGGAUAGGAUUUGGAACUCAACAUUUUGAAUAAAAAUCUUAAAAAACUGGGGGAGAGGAAUUCAGAGGGGGAGCCCAGAAGCAGAGCCGCCUGGCCGGCUAACAAGUUACAACCGCCCAGAGGCAGGGCAAGGCUCUUCGCUUGCCCUGCUGCCGAGGGAGCUGCUUGAUCCGUCUAGCCGAGACAUCACUAGGUCAGGGAGGCCAGCAGAGCAAGGAAAUGAGGUCAUGCCGUUCUGGAGCGGGGAGCUGCCCCAGGGAGGGCGGGUCUGGCCCUGACUACCACAGUGCUUUGCCUUUGUGCCUAUUCUUCUUCUCUUUUGGACUCUGAGUGCGG
Molecule: long non-coding RNA, 1150 nt
Organism: Sarcophilus harrisii (Tasmanian devil)
Lineage: Eukaryota; Metazoa; Chordata; Mammalia; Dasyuromorphia; Dasyuridae
Exons: 3
Source: RefSeq, a predicted model, not a curated record